RNAcentral lists this ribosomal RNA (468 nucleotides) under uncultured bacterium. RNAcentral's name for it is "partial 16S ribosomal RNA". It matches the Rfam family "Bacterial small subunit ribosomal RNA", at positions 28 to 507 of the family's 1533-position model. The record is from RNAcentral.
GAUGAACGCUGGCGGCGUGCUUAACACAUGCAAGUCGAACGGAAAGGCCCAAGCUUGCUUGGGUACUCGAGUGGCGAACGGGUGAGUAACACGUGGGUGAUCUGCCCUGCACUUCGGGAUAAGCCUGGGAAACUGGGUCUAAUACCGGAUAGGACGAUGGUUUGGAUGCCAUUGUGGAAAGUUUUUUCGGUGUGGGAUGAGCUCGCGGCCUAUCAGCUUGUUGGUGGGGUAAUGGCCUACCAAGGCGUCGACGGGUAGCCGGCCUGAGAGGGUGUACGGCCACAUUGGGACUGAGAGACGGCCCAGACUCCUACGGGAGGGAGCAGUGGGGAAUAUUGAACAAUGGGCGCAAGCCUGAUGCAGCGACGCCGCGUGGGGGAUGACGGCCUUCGGGUUGUAAACUCCUUUCGCUAGGGAAGAAGCGUUUUUGUGACGGUACCUGGAGAAGAAGCACCGGCUAACUACGUG